This 484-nucleotide ribosomal RNA is filed under the name uncultured bacterium. Its description in RNAcentral is "partial 16S ribosomal RNA". It matches the Rfam family "Bacterial small subunit ribosomal RNA", at positions 30 to 507 of the family's 1533-position model. The record is from RNAcentral.
AUUGAACGCUGGCGGCAGGCCUAACACAUGCAAGUCGAGCGGAUGAAGGGAGCUCGCUCCUGGAUUCAGCGGCGGACGGGUGGGUAAUGCCUAGGAAUCUGCCUGGUAGUGGGGGAUAACGUCCGGAAACGGGCGCUAAUAUCGCAUACGUCCUGAGGGAGAAAGUGGUGGAUCCUCGGUCCUCACGCUAUCAGAUGAGCCUAGGUCGGAUUAGCCAGUUGGUGGGGUAAAGGCCUACCAAGCCGACGAUCCGUAACUGGUUUGAGAGGAUGAUCAGUCAGCCUGGAACUGAGACACGGUCCAGACUCCUACGGGAGGCGGCGGUGGGGAACAUUGGACAUUGGGCGAAGGCCUAAUCCAGCCAUGCCGGGUGUGUGAAGAAGGUCUUCGGUUUUUAAAGCACUUUAAGUUGGGAGGAAGGGCAGUAAGGUAAUACCUUGCUGUUUUGACGUUACCAACAGAGUAAGCACCGGCUAACUUCGUG